RNAcentral lists this transfer RNA (85 nucleotides) under Kistimonas sp. Its description in RNAcentral is "tRNA-Leu". It matches the Rfam family "tRNA". Rfam says of the family: Transfer RNA (tRNA) molecules are approximately 80 nucleotides in length. Their secondary structure includes four short double-helical elements and three loops (D, anti-codon, and T loops). Lineage: Bacteria; Pseudomonadati; Pseudomonadota; Gammaproteobacteria; Oceanospirillales; Endozoicomonadaceae. The record is from RNAcentral.
GCCGGUGUGAUGGAACAGGUAGACAUGAGUGACUCAAAAUCACUUGCCUUCGGGCGUGGCGGUUCGAAUCCGCCCACCGGUACCA